Long non-coding RNA from Juglans microcarpa x Juglans regia, 1073 nucleotides. RefSeq lists it as uncharacterized. The transcript is spliced from 2 exons. Lineage: Eukaryota; Viridiplantae; Streptophyta; Magnoliopsida; Fagales; Juglandaceae. The record is from RefSeq and is a predicted model, not a curated record.
CCUUUUUGGAUCCAGUUUUCACCAUGUAGGUAAAUUUGUGUUUUAAUUAUUUUUUUAAGUAUCCAACUCUUUUGGCUUGUGAAAAGAAGGCUAAUUAAUCACCAGUGAUGUGUAGUUUUUUCAGUCGAGCUGCAUCUCAUGGUUUAAAUUCGUACCUAUACGCAUUGCUACAUUAAAAAGGUUGCUUGAAUGAGGGUAUCUGGCCAUUCCUUGUUUCCAAAUGCUUUUUGCACACUUCACUUUGGUGCUCACCCUUUGAGCUCAUCUUAUAUCCUUUCUAUUUGCUAUUGCUUUUGUUUUGAUCUAGAGGAGCACAAACACGCUCAAACGUCUGAUUUCAUGAGGAAAUUAGAGACUUCUUGAGUAAUGAGUCAUUACCGCCAUUAGGUAUUGGCAAGGGUUGGCUCAAGUGGUAAAGACCUUGGUCUUGGUGGUAUGCUUCCUCUAGAUCUAAGGUUUGAAUCCUCUUGAGUGCAAACAAUUUCUAGGGGCCAUUGAACUGGAGGAACUUCCUCUUGAAUUACCCGACCCUCGCUGGAAACUUCUUACCGAGGGCUUGUGCACACCUGGAAUUAGUUGGGACUUUGUUCUUGGACACCCAGCAAUAAAAAAAAAUAGUAAAUUGAUUAAUGACAUUUAUUGCAGUCUAGAAUUACUUUUUGAAGAGAAAGACAGCAAGUUGUUGCAUGCAAUCGUUGUGUGUGGAAAAGAGGUAUAGAUUAAGACUGCUAUGCAUGUGAAUGCUGGAUUUUUUAUGAUUAUUUUCUCUCUCUGAUAUAUAAAUCUUUUCAAGUUACUGACUUCUGGCAUCUUGUUGGAUUGCAUUGAUGGCUCUACUGCAGAUAUUAAUUUAGUGUGCAAUGUUGGUGCAUUGCUAGUGAGGGCAUCGCAUUGUGCCUGCAUAUUAGGGUCUCCUCAUCGUGUUUUUAAAGAAUAUCAUACAUAUGAUGCCUUUAGCUGCUUGGAAUACUAAUUGAGAUGGAUCCGCUUGUUAGUUAUGUAUGUGCCCACUUUAACAUGUUUUUUACUUCCUAAUGGGUUUUCUAUUUUACUGCUGGGAACAAUUUAAGUAG